GAUGACUAAACUUAACGGUAGAGAAUUAAUUGAUUACAUAAAUUGUUGCGAAACUAUACAAUAACUGUCGAUAUUGUAUGUAUGAUGUAUAUAAUAAUGUAUGUAUAUAAUUUAAUUUAAUUUGCGUGUCUAAUCCCAGAGAGGUCCAAAGGGUGUGAUCGGUGCAGCCUCCUUGUGCGUUGACUGGUGUCCAGCAGGUCUUGUGCCAGGUUGUUUGGGUGGUCUUGAAGCCUCUGCAUGUACUGCCUGCUGCUUUUCUUAAUCUCAUCCUUCACCCAGGGGAAGCUGAGGACCUCGUGUAUAGUGGCAUUAUCGUGGAAAGGUGCCCCACAGUUGAAUGCCAUACGUCCAGAUUGGCCUUAUGAUCGCUUUGUAGAUAAGGAGCUUAGUGGAAGUCGGUAGCUUAGAUUGUCUGCCCAUCAGCCAGUAGAAUUCACGGACUCGGUUCUCCGCCUGUUUCCGCUUCUUUAGCAGGUGUGGUCUCCAUGUAAGUCUCCUGUCCAGUGUAAAGCCAAGAUAAUUUGGAUUGGCUACCUCUGGGAUUGGGAACCCGUUGAAACUGACUGGUGGGCAAGUGCCGCGUCUAGUUGCGAAGGUGGUAGCGGUUGACUUGUCGCUGUUUACCGAUAUAUUCCAUCUCGUGUGCCACGUGUUCAGUAGAUCUAGUUGCUCCUGCAUAGUCUGGGAGGCCUCUGCUGGGGUAUCUGCUGUUGUUAGGAACGCAGUAUCAUCGGCGUAAGUGGCUGCCAUAAUGUACUGGCUCGGUAUCACCGGCAGGUCAGCCGUAUACGCGUUGUAGAGGAGCGGACCGAGAACGCUUCCUUGGGGAACUCCUGCACGGGCUUCUUUGACGUCUGAGCGCGCUUCUCCACACCUGACGGCGAAUCUUCUGCCCUCCAGGAACGAUUUUAAGAACUUGAAAUAUGGCUGGGGCAGGCCGUUUUUGAGCUUUAGGAGGAGACCGGGGUGCCAAACACGAUCAAAGGCUUGCUUAAUGUCCAGCAUUACUGCUAGGCAGUAUUUCUUAUUCUCAAAGGCGUCCAGGAUAUAUUGCGCUACUCGGUGGCCUUGCUCUGGUGUCCCGUGGCGGCGCCUAAAGCCAAACUGGUGAUCAGGGA
This is a long non-coding RNA of Drosophila simulans, 1118 nucleotides long. RefSeq lists it as uncharacterized. NCBI's taxonomy places the organism in Eukaryota, Metazoa, Arthropoda, Insecta, Diptera, Drosophilidae. The transcript has 2 exons. The record is from RefSeq and is a predicted model, not a curated record.